CGGGACACGUGGUAUCCUGUCUGAAUAUGGGGGGACCAUCCUCCAAGGCUAAAUACUCCUGACUGACCGAUAGUGAACCAGUACCGUGAGGGAAAGGCGAAAAGAACCCCGGCGAGGGGAGUGAAAAAGAACCUGAAACCGUGUACGUACAAGCAGUGGGAGCACGCUUAGGCGUGUGACUGCGUACCUUUUGUAUAAUGGGUCAGCGACUUAUAUUCUGUAGCAAGGUUAACCGAAUAGGGGAGCCGAAGGGAAACCGAGUCUUAACUGGGCGUUAAGUUGCAGGGUAUAGACCCGAAACCCGGUGAUCUAGCCAUGGGCAGGUUGAAGGUUGGGUAACACUAACUGGAGGACCGAACCGACUAAUGUUGAAAAAUUAGCGGAUGACUUGUGGCUGGGGGUGAAAGGCCAAUCAAACCGGGAGAUAGCUGGUUCUCCCCGAAAGCUAUUUAGGUAGCGCCUCGUGAAUUCAUCUCCGGGGGUAGAGCACUGUUUCGGCAAGGGGGUCAUCCCGACUUACCAACCCGAUGCAAACUGCGAAUACCGGAGAAUGUUAUCACGGGAGACACACGGCGGGUGCUAACGUCCGUCGUGAAGAGGGAAACAACCCAGACCGCCAGCUAAGGUCCCAAAGUCAUGGUUAAGUGGGAAACGAUGUGGGAAGGCCCAGACAGCCAGGAUGUUGGCUUAGAAGCAGCCAUCAUUUAAAGAAAGCGUAAUAGCUCACUGGUCGAGUCGGCCUGCGCGGAAGAUGUAACGGGGCUAAACCAUGCACCGAAGCUGCGGCAGCGACGCUUAUGCGUUGUUGGGUAGGGGAGCGUUCUGUAAGCCUGUGAAGGUGUGCUGUGAGGCAUGCUGGAGGUAUCAGAAGUGCGAAUGCUGACAUAAGUAACGAUAAAGCGGGUGAAAAGCCCGCUCGCCGGAAGACCAAGGGUUCCUGUCCAACGUUAAUCGGGGCAGGGUGAGUCGACCCCUAAGGCGAGGCCGAAAGGCGUAGUCGAUGGGAAACAGGUUAAUAUUCCUGUACUUGGUGUUACUGCGAAGGGGGGACGGAGAAGGCUAUGUUGGCCGGGCGACGGUUGUCCCGGUUUAAGCGUGUAGGCUGGUUUUCCAGGCAAAUCCGGAAAAUCAAGGCUGAGGCGUGAUGACGAGGCACUACGGUGCUGAAGCAACAAAUGCCCUGCUUCCAGGAAAAGCCUCUAAGCAUCAGGUAACAUCAAAUCGUACCCCAAACCGACACAGGUGGUCAGGUAGAGAAUACCAAGGCGCUUGAGAGAACUCGGGUGAAGGAACUAGGCAAAAUGGUGCCGUAACUUCGGGAGAAGGCACGCUGAUAUGUAGGUGAAGUCCCUCGCGGAUGGAGCUGAAAUCAGUCGAAGAUACCAGCUGGCUGCAACUGUUUAUUAAAAACACAGCACUGUGCAAACACGAAAGUGGACGUAUACGGUGUGACGCCUGCCCGGUGC
RNAcentral lists this ribosomal RNA (1466 nucleotides) under Escherichia coli. RNAcentral's name for it is "partial 23S ribosomal RNA". It matches the Rfam family "Bacterial large subunit ribosomal RNA", at positions 418 to 1869 of the family's 2925-position model. The record is from RNAcentral. Lineage: Bacteria; Pseudomonadati; Pseudomonadota; Gammaproteobacteria; Enterobacterales; Enterobacteriaceae.